GUGAGGAAUAUUGCGCAAUGGAGGCAACUCUGACGCAGCCAUGCCGCGUGCAGGAAGAAGGCGCUACGCGUUGUAAACUGCUUUUAACCGGGAAGAAACCCCAGGACGUGUCCUGGGUUGACGGUACCGGAGGAAUAAGCACCGGCUAACUUCGUGCCAGCAGCCGCGGUAAUACGAAGGGUGCAAGCGUUAUCCGGAUUCAUUGGGUUUAAAGGGUGCGUAGGCGGAGCGUUAAGUCAGUGGUGAAAUCCUGCAGCUUAACUGUAGACUUGCCAUUGAGACUGGCGCUCUUGAGUGCGCUUGAAGUGGGCGGAAUGUGCCGUGUAGCGGUGAAAUGCUUAGAUAUGGCACAGAACACCAAUUGCGAAGGCAGCUCACUAAGGCGAUACUGACGCUGAGGCACGAAAGCGUGGGGAUCGAACAGGAUUAGAUACCCUUGUAGUCC
RNAcentral lists this ribosomal RNA (445 nucleotides) under uncultured bacterium. RNAcentral's name for it is "partial 16S ribosomal RNA". It matches the Rfam family "Bacterial small subunit ribosomal RNA", at positions 354 to 796 of the family's 1533-position model. The record is from RNAcentral.